CCCUACCAUUCUCGUCCUUUAUGCACCUAACUUGGUCAAGAUCACGCGCGUUCCUUUCCCUUGCUUUAGCUAACCGGAAUAACUUCCCGUCCCUGCCUUUCUCCCCUAAUUCCUCGUACAUGCGACCAAACGCCGCGUUUUUAGCUUCCGUAGCCGCCAACUUUGCUUCUUUCCUCGCCACCUUGUAGAUCUCCCUGUUCGCUCUCUGUUCUUCCUCGCUUGUGCUCCC
This 229-nucleotide long non-coding RNA is filed under the name Nicotiana benthamiana. RNAcentral describes it as "long non-coding RNA (NBEN_LNC038289)". The record is from RNAcentral. Lineage: Eukaryota; Viridiplantae; Streptophyta; Magnoliopsida; Solanales; Solanaceae.